Molecule: ribosomal RNA, 321 nt
Filed under: uncultured eukaryote
Lineage: Eukaryota
Description: partial 18S ribosomal RNA
Rfam family: Eukaryotic small subunit ribosomal RNA
Source: RNAcentral
CCCUUAGAUGUCCUGGGCCGCACGCGCGCUACACUGACAUGUUCAACAAGCCUCCUAGUUCGACAGGAUUUGGGAAAUCUUUGAACGCAUGUCGUGAUAGGGAUAGAUCAUUGCAAUUAUUGAUCUUGAACGAGGAGUUCCUAGUAAACGCGAGUCAUCAGCUCGCAUUGAUUACGUCCCUGCCCUUUGUACACACCGCCCGUCGCACCUACCGAUUGAAUGUUUCGGUGAAGAUUCCGGAUAGGACUUUUUUGAUUUAUUUCAAUUUUGUCUUAAAAGCUAUCUAAACCUCAACAUUUAGAGGAAGGUGAAGUCGUAACA